GCGCUCACACACUUAAAAAAUAAGGGUUUUAAAACAAAACCGCUAUGAACCUUUUUAAGAAAACUAAGUGCAGUCAGCUGGUUUUCUUUGUUCACGAAGCGGAGUUCUCGAAGUCGAUAGAAGCCAAGCAGUGAAACGCCGUUCUCCUUAAAUAGCCCCAUUGGGGGAUGGGACGGAAGAAGCCACACCCGCUCCCUUGUUCACUUCACACUCGUCAUCCGCCACUGCCUGCUCUCCGCCCCCCGCGCGUCGAGGCUCCUGUUCCUUGGAGUCUGAGUUUUAGAAGAGAAAGGAUCGAGAAUACCGUGGCUUUUCUCUUUUUGGGGGCUUUUUCUAGACAUCAAAGGAGUUCUGAACUGAGUCAUUAUGCUGUGAUCUCAGCCAGUGCCUCAUGACAGGUCAGUAGUAAAGAAACUAAAUGCUUUUACAAGAAAAAUAACCAUCUAAUUGUGAUUCUGAUUUCUUGUUAAUUGAGGAGCUACCCACAUCUUUGUCAUAAGUCAUCACUUCUGGUAAGCUGAUGACUUGGAGAUCAGUAAGGCUUUUGAUACAAGAACUCAUUAAAAGCCAAGAGUUCGUCUCAGGGAAAAAAAGACUAUCUGGAUUCCAAAGGCUUAGUAAAUCAUGGACUUGAAAUAAGCACUCAGCCUUACAAUCUUGUCUUCAGUUGACUUCCUAGUACUAAAAAUCCUCAACCUAUUAACCUUGCAGGAGACUCUACAAUUUUAAUUUUUUAAUUGCAUUUGACUUAAUUGCGAUUAAUCAUUUUGCAUACUUACACCUACAGUUGAGUUGCUUUUGUCAGGCUCAACUUGACAUGACUGUUAUAUGGAUGUGAGUCAAUAAUUCCUUUGAAUAUGAUUACUGCAUGACAAAAAUAAGGACUGUUAGAGGCUCAGUUUUGAACUUCUCACAAUAUCAACAGAGUAAUAGUUUACCUCACUGACCCAAAUUCUUGUAGCAGUCAGUCUGGCUCCUCUUCCUGCUGUGUCACUGCGACAUCUGACAUACCUGAUUUUUAAAAGUUCCCAUAGAAAACUAUUUACAAAAUGCCUUGCAAUCUAACCAGUACAUGAAGUAAAUGUCAAAGUUAUCACAGAAAAUAUUAAAACAUUAAUCAAGUACAAACAAAAUUUUCCAGCUACAAAGUAACAUAUUUUCAAUGCUACAAUAUUUAAGGUGGUAUCUUUUCACACCUGUGAAAGUGUAUAGAGCAGAUAAAUUUGCAAUCGUGAAUGUACUGACAGAUCAUUGCAAGAUCUCAUUUUAUUUUCUGGCAUUUCACAUCCUGUCAGCUCUCUAAGAGAUUAAAAUGUAAUGUUAUGUGCACAAGUUGUUUUUAAAGUCUCUCUCAGAUUGUUUUAAUAGUUCAAGUCAGUGAUGCUUUGUCAUUUA
RNAcentral lists this long non-coding RNA (1395 nucleotides) under Cyanistes caeruleus (blue tit). RNAcentral's name for it is "lncRNA (ENSCCEG00000006095.1)". The record is from RNAcentral. Lineage: Eukaryota; Metazoa; Chordata; Aves; Passeriformes; Paridae.